AUUGAACGCUGGCGGCAUGCUUUACACAUGCGAGUCGAGCGGUAACAGGCCUUCGGGUGCUGACGAGUGGCGAACGGGUGAGUAAUGCAUCGGAACGUACCCAGAGGUGGGGGAUAACGCAGCGAAAGCUGUGCUAAUACCGCAUGUGAUCUGAGGAUGAAAGCGGGGGACCGCGCAGCAAUGUUUGGCCUCGCGCCUUUGGAGCGGCCGAUGUCGGAUUAGCUAGUUGGUGGGGUAAAGGCCUACCAAGGCGACGAUCCGUAGCUGGUCUGAGAGGACGACCAGCCACACUGGGACUGAGACACGGCCCAGACUCCUACGGGAGGCAGCAGUGGGGAAUUUUGGACAAUGGGCGCAAGCCUGAUCCAGCAAUGCCGCGUGCGGGAAGAAGGCCUUCGGGUUGUAAACCGCUUUUGGCAGGAACGAAACGGUGUCCGCUAAUACCGGGCGCUAAUGACGGUACCUGCAGAAUAAGCACCGGCUAACUACGUG
Molecule: ribosomal RNA, 492 nt
Filed under: uncultured bacterium
Lineage: Bacteria
Description: partial 16S ribosomal RNA
Rfam family: Bacterial small subunit ribosomal RNA
Source: RNAcentral